GUUUGAGAAAGACUAGGAAAAGAACCGAGCAGCCUGCAGCUGGAGAGAAAUGGGUGCCAUCAAGAGGUAUUUAAAAGGUGAAAAUCACUUCUGCUUGCUGGAAGAUUAGACAUGGGUAAUGUGGAGGGGAAGGUGUCAGGAACAACUUAGUUUGCUUUAUGCUGAAGCUAAGUUUGAGGGAAGAGAACAUGCAUUUGUUUUUAAACUCACAGAGCUUGAGGAGCCUGGAAGGCUGGUAGUAGUCAGGCAGACCUGUGGAGUUCAGGGGCAAAGCCAAGGGCUGGAGUUCUGGAUCUGUGUUUAAGUGAUGGGAACUGUUUUUCUCUUUGUGUCUCCCACAGGUCAUGUUGGCCCCCCUUAUUUCUAUUGCUCUGAAAGUGUCCCAGCUCCAGGAGAGAACAGGACGCACUGCACCCACCGUCAUCACCUAAGAAGACCCACCAGAUGCGGUACGUCCCUCCAUCCCAGGACCUAUUCACGUCAUCUGAUUGAAGAGCAUGGACUGAAACAAAGUGUACCCACCCAGGCUUUUUAGGAUUUGAUUUCUCCACUUCAUGGUUGUUGAUAAACGGUGCUUUGCAAGGCACUGCCAAUUGAGAUGCCCCCGGGAGCCAUGUGGGAGAUGGAAGAGGACCCACAGGCAUUAUGUCAGUUCCUUUUCACGCCCCUCUGCAACUGCUGCUGUGUGGGUAUCUGUCUCCUUAGCAUCAGGCACUGUUCACAUGACAGUGCAAGGUGGAGGCUGAGUGUCAGUGAUCGAGGCCAGCUUUCAGCCUUAGGAUGUGCCCAUGAAAUGAUAGCAGAAGUUCCAUUCUCCUUGGUGAAUCCUUCCCCCAGUUUACUGUUUACAUGUAAUCUAACAAAACGCAAUUUCUGGUGCCUUCUCUCCAAUCAGUUUCCCUCUGAGUGAGACGUACUUGUCUAUAGAUUUCUGACUUGUUUUGCAGCAUAGUCCCAUUUGCACAGAUACUUUGGGAUAUUAAAGCAGAAUAAGCUACUAUUGCAUGUUGUCUUUUGUCUUUUUUUUUUUUCCUUAACAAAGUACGUUUUUGAUUUCUGUAAGAUGACAGAUUUUUUUGUUUUGUUUUGUUUUGGAGUAGGAGGAUAUUAUAAUUUGUUUUGAUGUCCUAG
This 1131-nucleotide long non-coding RNA is filed under the name Marmota monax (woodchuck). Lineage: Eukaryota; Metazoa; Chordata; Mammalia; Rodentia; Sciuridae. The record is from RNAcentral.